RNAcentral lists this long non-coding RNA (238 nucleotides) under Gossypium barbadense (sea-island cotton). Its description in RNAcentral is "long non-coding RNA (GBAR_LNC002526)". The record is from RNAcentral. Lineage: Eukaryota; Viridiplantae; Streptophyta; Magnoliopsida; Malvales; Malvaceae.
CUAUACCCAUGUGAAUUGUGCUUCAAUUAUGCUAGAUUGACACGGCCGUGUGGUCUGCUCGUGUGAAGAGGUCCAGGCCGUGUUGAUUUCGUACUUUGGCCCAUUUUCUCUGUUUUGGGCCCGUUUCUCGUUCCUUUCACUCUCCUAUGCUCUCCUAAGUAUAAAAUAUGAAAUUAAAGCAUUAGGAGCAUCGAAUUCAUCAAUUCUAAUGAGAAAUCAUCCAUAAAAUGCAUUAAAC